RNAcentral lists this ribosomal RNA (484 nucleotides) under uncultured bacterium. RNAcentral's name for it is "partial 16S ribosomal RNA". It matches the Rfam family "Bacterial small subunit ribosomal RNA", at positions 30 to 507 of the family's 1533-position model. The record is from RNAcentral.
AUUGAACGCUGGCGGCAGGCCUAACACAUGCAAGUCGAGCGGAUGAAGGGAGCUUGCUCCUGGAUUCAGCGGCGGACGGGUGAGUAAUGCCUAGGAAUCUGCCUGGUAGUGGGGGAUAACGUCCGGAAACGGGCGCUAAUACCGCAUACGUCCUGAGGGAGAAAGUGGGGGAUCUUCGGACCUCACGCUAUCAGAUGAGCCUAGGUCGGAUUAGCUAGUUGGUGGGGUAAAGGCCUACCAAGGCGACGAUCCGUAACUGGUCUGAGAGGAUGAUCAGUCAAACUGGAACUGAGACACGGUCCAGACUCCUACGGGGGGCAGCAGUGGGGAAUAUUGGACAAUGGGCGAAAGCCUGAUCCAGCCAUGCCGCGUGUGUGAAGAAGGUCUUCGGAUUGUAAAGCACUUUAAGUUGGGAGGAAGGGCAGUAAGUUAAUACCUUGCUGUUUUGACGUUACCAACAGAAUAAGCACCGGCUAACUUCGUG